RNAcentral lists this ribosomal RNA (450 nucleotides) under uncultured bacterium. RNAcentral's name for it is "bacterial SSU rRNA". It matches the Rfam family "Bacterial small subunit ribosomal RNA", at positions 28 to 476 of the family's 1533-position model. The record is from RNAcentral.
GAUGAACGCUGGCGGCGUGCUUAACACAUGCAAGUCGAACGAAGCACUUUUACAGAUUUCUUCGGAAUGAAGUUUUAGUGACUGAGUGGCGGACGGGUGAGUAACGCGUGGGUAACCUGCCUCACACAGGGGGAUAACAGUUGGAAACGGCUGCUAAUACCGCAUAAGCGCACAGUACCGCAUGGUACAGUGUGAAAAACUCCGGUGGUGUGAGAUGGACCCGCGUCUGAUUAGCUAGUUGGCAGGGCAACGGCCUACCAAGGCGACGAUCAGUAGCCGACCUGAGAGGGUGACCGGCCACAUUGGGACUGAGACACGGCCCAAACUCCUACGGGAGGCAGCAGUGGGGAAUAUUGCACAAUGGGGGAAACCCUGAUGCAGCGACGCCGCGUGAGCGAAGAAGUAUUUCGGUAUGUAAAGCUCUAUCAGCAGGGAAGAAGAAAUGACGGU